RNAcentral lists this ribosomal RNA (460 nucleotides) under uncultured bacterium. Its description in RNAcentral is "partial 16S ribosomal RNA". It matches the Rfam family "Bacterial small subunit ribosomal RNA", at positions 338 to 795 of the family's 1533-position model. The record is from RNAcentral.
CCUACGGGUGGCUGCAGUGAGGAAUAUUGGUCAAUGGCCGGAAGGCUGAACCAGCCAAGUCGCGUGAGGGAAUAAGGCCCUAUGGGUCGUAAACCUCUUUUGUCAGGGAGCAAAGGCGUCCACGAGUGGACGAAAGGAGAGUACCUGAAGAAAAAGCAUCGGCUAAUUCCGUGCCAGCAGCCGCGGUAAUACGGAAGGCCCGAGCGUUAUCCGGAUUCAUUGGGCUUAAAGGGAGCGUAGGCGGGCGUUCAAGUCAGCUGUAAAAUCGCGCGGCUCAACCGCGCCCCGCAGUUGAAACUGGACGCCUUGAGUUCACAACAGGCAGGCGGAAUUCGUGGUGUAGCGGUGAAAUGCAUAGAUAUCACGAGGAACCCCGAUUGCGAAGGCAGCCUGCCGGGGUGCGACUGACGCUGAGGCUCGAAGGUGCGGGUAUCAAACAGGAUUAGAUACCCGAGUAGUC